Non-coding RNA from Podarcis lilfordi (Lilford's wall lizard), 132 nucleotides. NCBI's taxonomy places the organism in Eukaryota, Metazoa, Chordata, Lepidosauria, Squamata, Lacertidae. The record is from the annotation of a GenBank genome assembly.
CUUCCAGUAGCACCUUAGAGACCAACCAAGUUUGUUAUUGGUAUGAACUGAAUCUGAAGAAGUGUGCAUGCACACAAAAGCUCAUACCAAUAACAAACUUACCGUAGUUGGUCUCUAAGGUGCUACUGGAAG